This 850-nucleotide ribosomal RNA is filed under the name uncultured Bacteroidota bacterium. Its description in RNAcentral is "bacterial SSU rRNA". It matches the Rfam family "Bacterial small subunit ribosomal RNA", at positions 22 to 877 of the family's 1533-position model. Lineage: Bacteria; Pseudomonadati; Bacteroidota. The record is from RNAcentral.
GCUCAGAUGACGCUAGCGACAGGCCUACACAUGCAGUCGAGGGGCAGCGCGGGAGAAGCUUGCUUUCCUGGCGGCGACCGGCGCACGGGUGCGUAACAGGUGUGCAAUCUGUCCUAUACCGGGGCAUAGCCCAGCGAAAGUUGGAUUAAUUCUCCAUGUGAGCGAGUGCCGCAUGACACACGCUUGAAACGUAAGGGUAUAGGGKGAGCACGCUUCUGAUUAGAUAGUUGGUGGGGUAACGGCUCACCAAGUCGACGAUCAGUAGGGGUUCUGAGAGGAAGGUCCCCCACAUUGGAACUGAGACACGGUCCAAACUCCUACGGGAGGCAGCAGUGAGGAAUAUUGGUCAAUGGGCGAGAGCCUGAACCAGCCAAGUCGCGUGAAGGAUGAAGGUUCUAUGGAUUGUAAACUUCUUUUGUCCGAGGGWAAAAAAGRMUACGUGUAGCUUCUUGCAAGUAUCGGACGAAUAAGCAUCGGCUAACUCCGUGCCAGCAGCCGCGGUAAUACGGAGGAUGCGAGCGUUAUCCGGAUUUAUUGGGUUUAAAGGGUGCGUAGGUGGUUUGUUAAGUUUGUGGUGAAAGCGUGCGGCUCAACCGUACCAAGCCAUGAAAACUGGCGAACUUGAGUGCAAACGAGGUAGGCGGAAUGUGAUGUGUAGCGGUGAAAUGCUUAGAUAUGUCACAGAACCCCGAUUGCGAAGGCAGCUUACCAGCAUGCAACUGACACUGAGGCACGAAAGCGUGGGUUCAAACAGGAUUAGAUACCCUGGUAGUCCACGCAGAACUUUUCAUACUAGCUGUUGGCGAUAUAAUGUCAGCGGUACAGCGAAAGUGUUAAGUAUCCACCKGGG